UAUGUGCUGCAGGCAGUGCUUCCGUAGCAAUGGCAAGGAAAUUGGCUUCAUUAAGUAUCGCUAAAAGAGCUGAUGUUUCAACUCAACCAAUUUUAUGUUCUGGCACUAGGAUGUUUUAAGGAAGUUAUGUUUGAAGAAAAUUGAGACUUGUUUUUUUGCAUCUAAUUAAUUAUCAGACAUUAUUUGUUGAAUGAAAUAUACUUUUAUAUAAA
Non-coding RNA from Cajanus cajan (pigeon pea), 212 nucleotides. Lineage: Eukaryota; Viridiplantae; Streptophyta; Magnoliopsida; Fabales; Fabaceae. The record is from RefSeq and is a predicted model, not a curated record.